RNAcentral lists this long non-coding RNA (1148 nucleotides) under Homo sapiens (human). RNAcentral describes it as "HIF1A stabilizing long noncoding RNA". The record is from RNAcentral. Lineage: Eukaryota; Metazoa; Chordata; Mammalia; Primates; Hominidae.
GUUAAACAAGUGCUUGAAGGCAGUAUGCUUGGUAAAAGUCAUCGCCAUUCUCUAAUCUUGAGUACCCAGGGACACGAUACACUGCGGAAGGCUGCAGGGACCUCUGCCCAGGAAAGCCAGGAGCCAGAAAAACUUCAUCUCUUUUACAAGAAACAUUGAGAUUCCUGUAAAAUUAAGAAAUCACACAAUUUGAUGGUCUACAUUAUCUAAAGCAAAUGAGACUUCUAUUUGGAACAAAGACUACCUUGUUGGGAAAUGAGUCUGCAAGUUAAAGUGUUUUCUGGAUCCAGUAUCUGCCGGAGGAGCCCCACCUUCUGCUACUAUUAUGUUCUUCAGAUGAGUAGAAGAGAGUGGGGAGGGAGAGAGCAGGAAGAAGAAAGGAAGAAUAAUGUCUUGAAAUUGUUUUCUAAGGAUAAUGGUCUCCAGCUUCGUCAAUGUUCCUGCAAAGGACAUGAUGCUGACUUUGAAGAUGCAAGCUUCCACAUCUACAGCCUCAAGGAAACAAAUUCAGCCAACCAACUGAGGGAGCUUUCCUUGUCCUGCCUCAAGAUGAGAUCACAGUCUGCCCAACACCAUGAUUUAGGCCUUGUGACACCUGGUAUGGAAGACCCAAGCUCAGAUGGAAAAGAAUGGUGUUACUGAGACCCUUCAAGAUUCCCAGUGUAAUUCAAUAAAGAAAAGGCAACACAAAGGGGUUGUAUAGAAUUCGCCACAUUAUGGACCCAUGUCAUAGAGAGAAUCCACGGUGCAUUUGUUAGCUGCAUUUAAAUGACAACACUUUCAGAUCCAAGAUUUAUUUGGGAUAAAAAUUUACCUGGAUGCAAGGCUAUUCAGAAUGAAGAUUAAUGAUAUGGUUUGGCUGUGUCCCCACCCAAACUUCAUCUUGAAUUCCCACGUGUUGUGAGAGGGACCUGGUGGGAGAUAAUUGAACCAUGGGGGCAGGUCUUUCUCAUGCUGUUCUCAUGAGAGUGAAUAAGUCUCAUGAAACCUGAUGGUUUUAUAAGGGGGAAUUUCCCUGCACAAGCUCUCUCUCUGCCUUUUGCCAUCCAUGUAAGACGUGACUUGGUCCUCCUUGCCUUCUACCAUGAUUAUGAGGCCUCCCCAGCCACGUGGAACUGUGAGUCCAUUAAACCUCUUUCUUUUGUAAA